Molecule: ribosomal RNA, 251 nt
Filed under: uncultured bacterium
Lineage: Bacteria
Description: partial 16S ribosomal RNA
Rfam family: Bacterial small subunit ribosomal RNA
Source: RNAcentral
ACGUAGGGGGCAAGCGUUAUCCGGAUUUACUGGGUGUAAAGGGAGCGUAGACGGUUAUGCAAGUCUGAAGUGAAAUGCGGGGGCUCAACCCCUGAACUGCUUUGGAAACUGUGUGACUUGAGUGCAGGAGAGGUAAGUGGAAUUCCUAGUGUAGCGGUGAAAUGCGUAGAUAUUAGGAGGAACACCAGUGGCGAAGGCGGCUUACUGGACUGUAACUGACGUUGAGGCUCGAAAGCGUGGGGAGCAAACAG